UGGCAUUUGAAGACGUAAAAGAACAAAGCGGUUAGAGGAUGAAAACCUCGUAAAACAAUCGUA
This is a regulatory RNA element of Psychrobacillus sp. FJAT-21963, 63 nucleotides long. It matches the Rfam family "GP20-b RNA". Lineage: Bacteria; Bacillati; Bacillota; Bacilli; Caryophanales; Bacillaceae. The record is from Rfam.